Molecule: ribosomal RNA, 520 nt
Filed under: Bacillus safensis
Lineage: Bacteria; Bacillati; Bacillota; Bacilli; Caryophanales; Bacillaceae
Description: bacterial SSU rRNA
Rfam family: Bacterial small subunit ribosomal RNA
Source: RNAcentral
GGGAGCUUGCUCCCGGAUGUUAGCGGCGGACGGGUGAGUAACACGUGGGUAACCUGCCUGUAAGACUGGGAUAACUCCGGGAAACCGGAGCUAAUACCGGAUAGUUCCUUGAACCGCAUGGUUCAAGGAUGAAAGACGGUUUCGGCUGUCACUUACAGAUGGACCCGCGGCGCAUUAGCUAGUUGGUGGGGUAAUGGCUCACCAAGGCGACGAUGCGUAGCCGACCUGAGAGGGUGAUCGGCCACACUGGGACUGAGACACGGCCCAGACUCCUACGGGAGGCAGCAGUAGGGAAUCUUCCGCAAUGGACGAAAGUCUGACGGAGCAACGCCGCGUGAGUGAUGAAGGUUUUCGGAUCGUAAAGCUCUGUUGUUAGGGAAGAACAAGUGCGAGAGUAACUGCUCGCACCUUGACGGUACCUAACCAGAAAGCCACGGCUAACUACGUGCCAGCAGCCGCGGUAAUACGUAGGUGGCAAGCGUUGUCCGGAAUUAUUGGGCGUAAAGGGCUCGCAGGCGGU